This is a long non-coding RNA of Helicoverpa zea (corn earworm), 512 nucleotides long. RefSeq lists it as uncharacterized. The transcript is spliced from 3 exons. NCBI's taxonomy places the organism in Eukaryota, Metazoa, Arthropoda, Insecta, Lepidoptera, Noctuidae. The record is from RefSeq and is a predicted model, not a curated record.
CGAGAUUUCAAAGCUCUAAAUGGCUUUAAGCGGUCAAGUGGACUUUAAAAAAAGUUGUACCCAUAGCCAACGGCAUUCUACUUGUCCUGUGUUUUAGUUUGGGUGCAAAACUAUCGAAAUAUCUCGCAACGCACUGCCUUCGUUGAGUCAGCUGGAAGAGCUAGUAAGCUUUUUGGAAAGCAAACCAUGUUUGAUUAUGAUGGGCCAUGCUCGUACUGCGAAUGCGAGCAUGCAUGCAUGAUCCGAAAACAACAGCCCUAAACAGUGAAGUAGUGGGUGUAUGAAAAUAUUGGAGCAGUGGUGUAAGUACUGGAAGGACAAAAAGGAGCAGUUCAGAGGAAGUCCAGUUCUACUGCAGCUGCGAGCCAACAUGAAGAAUUUGCCAGAACUCGGUGUAAUCAAGUUAAAAAUACAUUCUAUUAUGCAAGGAGAAUGUUUUGGAAUCUGAAUUUAGAAAUAAAUGCAUGUUCAUUAUAAAAUACAAAAUAAUAAAAAGACAUGAUGAAUUAAAA